RNAcentral lists this unclassified non-coding RNA (1119 nucleotides) under Hevea brasiliensis (rubber tree). Lineage: Eukaryota; Viridiplantae; Streptophyta; Magnoliopsida; Malpighiales; Euphorbiaceae. The record is from RNAcentral.
AGGAAAUAUUUUAAUACUACUUAAGUUCCUUCAUACAGGCACUAAUAUUCAAAGUAGCAAGCAACUCGAGGAGAUCAUUCCUAGUAUGUCGCUGCUUAAUUGGUUAUCAUUAUGGUAUGUUUUUAGUUUUUCCGUUACAUAUACAUCUUCUUAUGCAUAUUUGUUAAUUAUAAAUGCGAAUUAGCAACAGAACUGUGUGCUGCCAACAACGUAGGACUUCAUAACCUAGGAUACUGUGUUAAAGAGUUCUACGUACUGAUGCCAUGUAUUUAGGGCUUCACAACUAGAAAUCCAGAGAAAACGAAACUACAGAAAAAUAGAAAUUAAGUGUACCUUGGAUAUUUAGCUCCAAGUAUGUCUUUCUGGCCAUACUUUCUCCAGCUAAAGCCAUCAUCAAGAGGCCCUUCUAGCCCCAUCCCUGGGCUAACUCGCACUUGUUGUGUCCACCUUGGCGUUCCCUUCCUGCAGAAUUAACCGAAAUUUAGAUACAAACCCAGCCAAAGUUAGUAUGUAAAAACACUAAUGAGAUAUCAUGUAUGUGUAUGCCUCUUCCUAGACCCAUCUUUAGGGUCGUGGUCCUUGAAGUCCCGGUCAGAGUCUUCACUCCGGGGACUUCCACUUAGAGAAGGCGGCGACUCAUGAGACAUGGCGACCGAUCCUGUGGGAUUUGGCUCUCUUAUUGAGCUGCUCAAAUUUAGCGUCGAAAGUGCCUUUUCAUAGGAAGCUAUGAUCUUCUGGACCAACAUUUCACGGGUUUCUCGGGAAGAAGAUGGCACGUUGAGAUGGAUUUGGAGCUGCCUUGCUAGCUCUCUCCCUAGCGUUAGCUCGUUUAGAAGAUUCUUUUGCUCCCAAUCUCCCAAGUUCUCCAUGUAUAAAUUAAAUAUCACCCAGAAAGGGCUACACCAAUGAUUUGAUCAAGUAAUGAAGGCUGACUGUUUCUGUAAAGCUUGUGAAAUAUAGUGUACGGAAUUUCUAGCUCAUGUAAUCACGAGAACACAGAAAAAGGAAGAGAUCAUAUUAUGAUAUGAAAUAGCAAGUAUAUGAUGAGAUCAUAUUAUGAUAUGAAAUAGCAAGUAUAUGAUGAGAUCAUAUUAUGAUAUGAAAUAGCAAGUAUAUGAU